AUGCAAAGUAUGAGCAUUGCAGACUCUAGCGAGCUGCUGAAGGUCGACGAGGAGGGUGCCGCCACCACCGUCAUCAGGCUGGUCCACAUCCAUGCGCUUCUCGGCGUCACCAGGUCACCGGCACAACUCCUCACGCCCAGGUCGUUCAACAUUUUCUUCCGCUUUUGGUGCGUCACAUUUAGAGUCUUUCUUUCCCAUUUUACCGUGUUUGCAUGGUAA
Molecule: ribosomal RNA, 219 nt
Filed under: Triticum aestivum (bread wheat)
Lineage: Eukaryota; Viridiplantae; Streptophyta; Magnoliopsida; Poales; Poaceae
Description: partial small subunit ribosomal RNA
Source: RNAcentral